This 365-nucleotide long non-coding RNA is filed under the name Homo sapiens (human). RNAcentral describes it as "non-protein coding lnc-AKT3-1:1". Lineage: Eukaryota; Metazoa; Chordata; Mammalia; Primates; Hominidae. The record is from RNAcentral.
UGGGAAUCCCCACAAAAUGAGAAUGAGGGGAUUGAAAGUGUUUUUGUUCGAAGAGCUCUGGCAUGGAGGCCACAGUCCUUCCAUGAAAUGUAACAAAGCGGGGCAGUUCACUCCUGAACACUUACCCGCACUGUACAGCAGAAGCUGCUUGGGAUGAGCGACUGCUACAGGAGGAAAAUGAAGUAGGAAACUACAUAAAAAUCCAGCUUUCCUGUGAGUAUAAAAAAGGAAGAAAAGGGUUAUAGACAAGAGAUGCCCGAGAGAGACAAGAAUUAUGAAGACAACCAAAUGUUCUCUAUCAGGUAAGCUGAAAACAGAUUGUAGAAAACUUUUGACACCAAACUUUCCUGGAACCCUGAAGCAAG